AUUGAACGCUGGCGGCAUGCCUUACACAUGCAAGUCGAACGGGAACAGGUCUUCGGAUGCUGACGAGUGGCGAACGGGUGAGUAAUACAUCGGAACGUGCCCGAUCGUGGGGGAUAACGAAGCGAAAGCUUUGCUAAUACCGCAUAAGGUCUACGGAUGAAAGCAGGGGACCGCAAGGCCUUGCGCGAACGGAGCGGCCGAUGGCAGAUUAGGUAGUGGGUGGGAUAAAAGCUUACCAAGCCGACGAUCUGUAGCUGGUCUGAGAGGACGACCAGCCACACUGGGACUGAGACACGGCCCAGACUCCUACGGGAGGCAGCAGUGGGGAAUUUUGGACAAUGGGCGAAAGCCUGAUCCAGCCAUGCCGCGUGCAGGAUGAAGGCCUUCGGGUUGUAAACUGCUUUUGUACGGAACGAAAAGACUCUUUCUAAUAAAGAGGGUCCAUGACGGUACCGUAAGAAUAAGCACCGGCUAACUACGUGCCAGCCGCCGCAGUAA
Molecule: ribosomal RNA, 498 nt
Filed under: uncultured bacterium
Lineage: Bacteria
Description: partial 16S ribosomal RNA
Rfam family: Bacterial small subunit ribosomal RNA
Source: RNAcentral